Molecule: ribosomal RNA, 870 nt
Filed under: uncultured bacterium
Lineage: Bacteria
Description: bacterial SSU rRNA
Rfam family: Bacterial small subunit ribosomal RNA
Source: RNAcentral
UGCAGUCGGACGGGAUUGAGGAGCUUGCUUCUCAUGAGAGUGGCGCGCGGGUGCGUAACACGUAUGUAACCUACCUUGUUCAGGGGGAUAGCCUCUCGAAAGAGAGAUUAACACCGCAUAAAAUCAAUUUAUGGCAUCAUAGAAUGAUCAAAUAUUUAUAGGAACAAGAUGGGCAUGCGGAACAUUAGCUAGUUGGUAAGGUAACGGCUUACCAAGGCUACGAUGUUUAGGGGAUCUGAGAGGAUGACCCCCCACACUGGUACUGAGACACGGACCAGACUCCUACGGGAGGCAGCAGUAAGGAAUAUUGGUCAAUGGACGCAAGUCUGAACCAGCCAUGCCGCGUGCAGGAAGACGGCCCUACGGGUUGUAAACUGCUUUUGUACCGGAAUAAACCUUUUCACGUGUGAGAAGCUGAAUGUACGGUAAGAAUAAGGAUCGGCUAACUCCGUGCCAGCAGCCGCGGUAAUACGGAGGAUCCAAGCGUUAUCCGGAUUUAUUGGGUUUAAAGGGUGCGUAGGUGGCCUAUUAAGUCAGGGGUGAAAGACGGUAGCUUAACUAUCGCAGUGCCUUUGAUACUGAUGGGCUUGAAUACACUUGAGGUAGGCGGAAUGUGACAAGUAGCGGUGAAAUGCAUAGAUAUGUCACAGAACACCAAUUGCGAAGGCAGCUUACUAAAGUGUUAUUGACACUGAGGCACGAAAGCGUGGGGAUCAAACAGGAUUAGAUACCCUGGUAGUCCACGCCCUAAACGAUGAAUACUCGAUGUUGGCGAUAUACGGUCAGCGUCUAAGCGAAAGCGUUAAGUAUUCCACCUGGGGAGUACGCCCGCAAGGGUGAAACUCAAAGGAAUUGACGGGGGCCCGCACA